RNAcentral lists this ribosomal RNA (316 nucleotides) under uncultured Sphaerochaeta sp. RNAcentral's name for it is "partial 16S ribosomal RNA". The record is from RNAcentral. Lineage: Bacteria; Pseudomonadati; Spirochaetota; Spirochaetia; Spirochaetales; Sphaerochaetaceae.
GGAGUCUGGGCCGUAUCUCAGUCCCAAUGUGGCCGUUCACCCUCUUAGGCCGGCUACCCAUCAUCGCCAUGGUAGGCCUUUACCCUGCCAUCUAGCUAAUGGGACGCAGACUCACCUUCAAGCAAAGCCUUAGCUCCUUUCCCGUUCUCCGCUUGUGCGGAUUACGUAUUAUCCGGUAUUAUCCUGACUUUCACCAGGCUAUCCCAGUCUAAAAGAUAGAUUAUCCACGUGUUACUCACCCGUCCGCCGCUCUCCUCGGAGUUGCCCCCGAUUCCCGCUCGACUUGCAUGCUUAAAACGCGCCGCCAGCGUUCGUU